CGGAUAUGGACUUCCCCAGCAUUAACAUGGAAGACAUCUUUGUAGAACUGGACACCCAAACAACAUGUCCAAAGGGAAAUUGAGAACAGAAUACAACAAUCUUUUUUCCAUUUACUCAAUAGUUUAGGUGUUAUUUCCAUAUCCAAUGUACAUUAUAUCAUGUCCACAUUACUCCAAAAACAUCAGAGAUAGAUAAUCAAC
This 201-nucleotide long non-coding RNA is filed under the name Olea europaea (common olive). Its description in RNAcentral is "long non-coding RNA (OEUR_LNC013574)". The record is from RNAcentral. Lineage: Eukaryota; Viridiplantae; Streptophyta; Magnoliopsida; Lamiales; Oleaceae.